This 631-nucleotide ribosomal RNA is filed under the name uncultured bacterium. RNAcentral's name for it is "bacterial SSU rRNA". It matches the Rfam family "Bacterial small subunit ribosomal RNA", at positions 215 to 842 of the family's 1533-position model. The record is from RNAcentral.
CCGGAGACGGAUGGGCAUGCGUGACAUUAGCUAGUUGGCGGGGUAACGGCCCACCAAGGCGACGAUGUCUAGGGGUUCUGAGAGGAAGGUCCCCCACACUGGUACUGAGACACGGACCAGACUCCUACGGGAGGCAGCAGUGAGGAAUAUUGGUCAAUGGGCGAGAGCCUGAACCAGCCAAGUCGCGUGAAGGAUGACGGCCCUACGGGUUGUAAACUUCUUUUGUCAGGGAGCAAUUGAGCCCACGUGUGGGCUUAGCGAGAGUACCUGAAGAAAAAGCAUCGGCUAACUCCGUGCCAGCAGCCGCGGUAAUACGGAGGAUGCGAGCGUUAUCCGGAUUUAUUGGGUUUAAAGGGUGCGUAGGCGGAAUAUCAAGUCAGCGGUAAAAAUUCGGGGCUCAACCCCGUCGUGCCGUUGAAACUGAUGUUCUUGAGUGGGCGAGAAGUAUGCGGAAUGCGUGGUGUAGCGGUGAAAUGCAUAGAUAUCACGCAGAACUCCGAUUGCGAAGGCAGCAUACCGGCGCCCAACUGACGCUGAAGCACGAAAGCGUGGGUAUCGAACAGGAUUAGAUACCCUGGUAGUCCACGCAGUAAACGAUGAAUGCUAAUUGUCCGGAGGGAUUGACCUCUGG